UACGAAGGGGGCUAGCGUUGCUCGGAAUCACUGGGCGUAAAGCGCACGUGGGCGGGUCGUUAAGUCAGGGGUGAAAUCCUGGAGCUCAACUCCAGAACUGCCUUUGAUACUGGCGAUCUUGAGUUCGGGAGAGGUGAGUGGAACUGCGAGUGUAGAGGUGAAAUUCGUAGAUAUUCGCAAGAACACCAGUGGCGAAGGCGGCUCACUGGCCCGAUACUGACGCUGAGGUGCGAAAGCGUGGGGAGCAAACAGG
RNAcentral lists this ribosomal RNA (253 nucleotides) under uncultured bacterium. RNAcentral's name for it is "partial 16S ribosomal RNA". It matches the Rfam family "Bacterial small subunit ribosomal RNA", at positions 524 to 776 of the family's 1533-position model. The record is from RNAcentral.